GACGAACGCUGGCGGCGUGCUUAACACAUGCAAGUCGAACGGAAAGGCCCUGCUUUUGUGGUGUGCUCGAGUGGCGAACGGGUGAGUAACACGUGAGUAACCUGCCCUUGACUUUGGUAUAACUUCAGGAAACUGGGGCUAAUACCGGAUAGGAGCUCCUGCUGCAUGGGGGGGGUUGGAAAGUUUCGGCGGGUGGGGAUGGACUCGCUGCUUGUCAGCUUGUUGGUGGGGUAGUGGCUUACCAAGGCUUUGACGGGUAGCCGGCCUGAGAGGGUGACCGGCCACAUUGGGACUGAGUUCCGGCCCAGCUUCCUCCGGGAGGAACAAGUGGGGAUUAUUGCCAAAUGGGCGGAGGCCGGAUGAAGCAACGCCGCGUGCGGAAUGACGGCCUUGGGGUUGUAACCCGCUUCCGCCUGUAACGAAGCGUGAGUGACGGUAAUGGGUAUAGAAGCCCCGGUUAACUACGUG
RNAcentral lists this ribosomal RNA (468 nucleotides) under uncultured bacterium. RNAcentral describes it as "partial 16S ribosomal RNA". It matches the Rfam family "Bacterial small subunit ribosomal RNA", at positions 28 to 507 of the family's 1533-position model. The record is from RNAcentral.